This 440-nucleotide ribosomal RNA is filed under the name uncultured bacterium. RNAcentral's name for it is "partial 16S ribosomal RNA". It matches the Rfam family "Bacterial small subunit ribosomal RNA", at positions 338 to 795 of the family's 1533-position model. The record is from RNAcentral.
CCUACGGGAGGCAGCAGUAGGGAAUAUUGCUCAAUGGGGGAAACCCUGAACCAGCAACGCCGCGUGGAGGAUGAAGGUUUUCGGAUUGUAAACUCCUUUUGUUAGAGAAGAUAAUGACGGUAUCUAACGAAUAAGCACCGGCCAACACCGUGCCCGCAGCCGCGGUACUACGGAGGGUGCAAGCGUUACUCGGAAUAACUGGGCGUAACGAGCGCGUAGGCGGGAUAGCAAGUCACAUGUGAAAUCCUAUGGCUUAACGAGAGAAGUGCAUUUGAAACUGUUAUUCUAGAGUAUGGGAGAGGUAGGUGGAAUGCUUGGUGUAGGGGUAAAAUGCGUAGAGAUCAAGAAGAAUACUCAUUGCGAAGGCAACCUGCUAGAACAUAACUGACGCUGAUGCGCGAAAGCGUGGGGAGCAAACAGGAUUAGAUACCCUGGUAGUC